RNAcentral lists this ribosomal RNA (440 nucleotides) under uncultured bacterium. RNAcentral's name for it is "partial 16S ribosomal RNA". It matches the Rfam family "Bacterial small subunit ribosomal RNA", at positions 338 to 795 of the family's 1533-position model. The record is from RNAcentral.
CCUACGGGAGGCUGCAGUGGGGAAUAUUGCACAAUGGGGGAAACCCUGAUGCAGCGACGCCGCGUGAGUGAAGAAGUAAUUCGUUAUGUAAAGCUCUAUCAGCAGGGAAGAAAAUGACGGUACCUGAGUAAGAAGCUCCGGCUAACUACGUGCCAGCAGCCGCGGUAAUACGUCGGGGGCCAGCGUUAUCCGGAUGUACGGGGUGUAAAGGGAGCGUAGACGGGAGUGCAAGUCUGGAGUGAAAGGCGGGGGCUAAACCCCCGGACUGCUAUUGAAACUGGAAGGCUGGAGUGCAGGAGAGGUAAGUGGAAUUCCUAGUGUAGCGGUGAAAUGCGUAGAUAUUAGGAGGAACACCAGUGGCGAAGGCAGCUUACUGAACUGUAACUGACGUUGAGGCUCGAAAGCGUGGGGAGCAAACAGGAUUAGAUACCCCGGUAGUC